AUCUGGGCGGCGGAAUUCAGAAUGGCUGGCGCGCUCUUGCRGCGCGUCGGUCGUUUGAUAUUUCCGUCGCCGAUCAACCGCAGACGUCGCGACCUGUUCGCGGUCGGUCCCUGCUCGGAGGAGCCGCGUUCGAGUUCGUUGUGUACGCGUUUCGGCGCGUCACACGGCGAAGGCGCGGAUCUCUGGCUGGCCGUCGGACAGUAUGCUUAACGGUGUCCGGUGUCGUCGUCUCGUACGCGCGGCACCGGUACCGGUCAGCGACGAAUUCUUCGGGCCUCUUUCCGACCCGUCUUGAAACACGGACCAAGGAGUCUAACAUGCGCGCGAGUCGCGGGGUGUCGAGCGUACUUCGGUGCGUUCGUUACGUUGCGAAACCCGUACAUGUCGAAGGCGUAAUGAAAGUGAAUGGGGAAGAUGGUGUUCCGAGUACACGUUCCGCGAUCGUCGGUAUCACGGCCGGACACCCGCAUUCCCGGGGCGUCUCAACGGCCCGUCGCUGAUGCGGACAGUCGUCUUUCGGGGCGGCUGUCGGUCGGCGACGAACCGA
RNAcentral lists this ribosomal RNA (547 nucleotides) under Affirmaspis cederbergensis. Its description in RNAcentral is "partial large subunit ribosomal RNA". Lineage: Eukaryota; Metazoa; Arthropoda; Insecta; Hemiptera; Diaspididae. The record is from RNAcentral.